This 567-nucleotide ribosomal RNA is filed under the name uncultured bacterium. Its description in RNAcentral is "bacterial SSU rRNA". It matches the Rfam family "Bacterial small subunit ribosomal RNA", at positions 32 to 645 of the family's 1533-position model. The record is from RNAcentral.
AACGCUGGCGGAGGCUUAAACAUGCAAGUCGAGCGGGCGUAGCAAUACGUCAGCGGCAGACGGGUGAGUAACGCGUGGGAACGUACCUUUUGGUUCGGAACAACCCAGGGAAACUUGGGCUAAUACCGGAUAAGCCCUCACGGGGAAAGAUUUAUCGCCGAAAGAUCGGCCCGCGUCUGAUUAGCUAGUUGGUGAGGUAAUGGCCCACCAAGGCGACGAUCAGUAGCUGGUCUGAGAGGAUGAUCAGCCACAUUGGGACUGAGACACGGCCCAAACUCCUACGGGAGGCAGCAGUGGGGAAUAUUGGACAAUGGGCGCAAGCCUGAUCCAGCCAUGCCGCGUGAGUGAUGAAGGCCCUAGGGUUGUAAAGCUCUUUUGUGCGGGAAGAUAAUGACGGUACCGCAAGAAUAAGCCCCGGCUAACUUCGUGCCAGCAGCCGCGGUAAUACGAAGGGGGCUAGCGUUGCUCGGAAUCACUGGGCGUAAAGGGUGCGUANGCGGGUCUUUAAGUCAGGGGUGAAAUCCUGGAGCUCAACUCCAGAACUGCCUUUGAUACUGAAGAUCUUGA